GGGCUCACUUCGGCAGCACAUGUACUAAAAUUGGAAAGCUACGGAGAAGGUUGGCAUGGCCCGAGCACAAGGAUGACACGCAAAUUUGUAAAGCGUUUCAUACUUUC
Ursus americanus (American black bear) is the source of this 107-nucleotide small nuclear RNA. The record is from Ensembl. NCBI's taxonomy places the organism in Eukaryota, Metazoa, Chordata, Mammalia, Carnivora, Ursidae.